GCGCCCAUUUAUUCUGUUCUUUUUUGACUUCUUUUUUCUCCACUAGGCUUGGAGGCUUCUUCGUUUUCGAAAGAAAAGUCAAAAACGAACGGAAAGCCUCCCAAACGGGAGGCUUUUUUAUA
This is a regulatory RNA element of Vibrio maritimus, 122 nucleotides long. It matches the Rfam family "Phenylalanine leader peptide". The record is from Rfam. NCBI's taxonomy places the organism in Bacteria, Pseudomonadati, Pseudomonadota, Gammaproteobacteria, Vibrionales, Vibrionaceae.